Molecule: long non-coding RNA, 2013 nt
Organism: Cygnus atratus (black swan)
Lineage: Eukaryota; Metazoa; Chordata; Aves; Anseriformes; Anatidae
Exons: 4
Source: RefSeq, a predicted model, not a curated record
CCGGCCGGACGGCAGGCGGAGGCUGCUGUGGCGGUGCGGCUGCCCCCGCCUUCUGUCCUCCCCGCUCCCCCUCGGCGGUGCGGCCGUGAGGUGCCGCGGGCUGGGCCGUGGGGUCGCCGUGGCUGUUGGUUGAGGGGACGGCUGGUGGAGCGCAGCGUGGCCGCCGGCGGAGGGCUCCCCUCAGGCAGCGGCGGAUUGUGGCCGUGGUGCCGAUCGCGGCUCCCAGGGGUGCGGCGGGGGAGGGUAAAACGUCUUCAGCAUAUCCCACCCUGCGCCUUCGUCUUAGAAACUUUCAAUGAGCGUGCCAGUGUCAGCGGGAGCUAUCCGACUUGCUCGCAGCACCUGCUGUCAUUCCAAUGCACACAGGUGAUCUGGGGGGCAGCUUGCCACCCAUGAGGGCCUCAAGCUAAAGCAGCCUGCUCCCAAUAGCUGGACCCCGUGACACUGACCCACACCUGGAGCAGCUCUUGAAGAGCCGCCAUCCAUGGAAAAGCCCACACAGGAGCAGCCCAUGAAGGACAGCACCCCUCAGGAAGGACCCCAGGCAGGAGCAGGGGAGAGAGUGGCGGUGAAGGAGCAGACGAAACAAAGGGUAGAAGCAGCUGCCACUAGGACCCCUGUGGGGUUUGUUGCUGCGCGAAGGUGACACACCGGGUAAAAUGAGAAAAGCUGCAGCUGAUGUGCUGCAAUUACAGAUAGGAGAAAAGCUGUUUCCAGCGAGACGGAGAAGGAAUUAAUUAUACCUCUGCCUCAUCCCAUGAGACCGGAAGACACUGAGUAACUUAACUGUAAACUGCAAUUCUCAGAAGACAUACUAAGAGUCUCAGGUUCCUUCUCUGCCUGCCCCCCAAAGCCUUAGGGAUGAGAAAUCUUAGGCUUUAUGUUUCUCCCUAUGAGAUACUGUCGCAUUAAGGGGCGUAGCUGACUGUUACGGGUCUGGUCGGAUUCAGGGUACUGAACUAUUACGGUCAUGGGUUUACCAAUAAUGUAGCACGCCCUCGCUCUAGUCACGUUCAAUGAGAACUGUCACGGCUAGGAACAAUGCAAUGAAGGGCAAUUUAUUACGGCAACAAGGACACAGGUUCUUUGGAUUGGCAGAGAUAAAUUCACUGUCGGCAAAAGCAAACGAGCACGCAUGAAAUACACAAGUACUCAUCGUGGCUGUUAACACGUUAAAAGGCACAAAGACUCUAGAGAUUUCUAAGUUUCCAAGGAGACACCUGGUAUAACCAAGUGUUCAAAUUUUACCCCACAGCGUCCCAAUGGGGGGAGGGGGAUAAGAGCUCAGCCUGUUGACUGAUCCCAGAAGUCAGAAGUCAGUUUUGUGAUGGUAUCUUGCCUAACAUUCCCUUUCUCUUAAGCCAGUUUACAUUAUUUUAUGUCUUUUAGGUGGAGCUUGAGUGACUCUAGUCAGGCAUAUCUUAGCUUUGACUGGUGAAAAGUUUUCUUGCUUUCAUUUAAAGGUGUAGACUCCGAGAAGUUCAGAGUGCAUGCUCAGCGAGGGGUGGUCGCACCUUGGAGGUGGGGAGCUUUUGGGAUGGAGGUGUGUUUUGGUAUUCUAAAGAUACUAGAAUGAGCAAAAGUUCCCUAGAGUACAGCAUUUUGUCAGGUCGUUGGCUCCGGGUAGCAAAGAUGCAGCUUACUGCUCUUGGUGUGCACAAGAGCAGUCGGGUCCUCAUCUGGUCACAGAGCCUAUCCGCGGUGUCUCCACUCCACUCUGCACUCCGUCCUGUUCCUUAGAGUCAGCACACCAAGUUCCCCUUGUGCGGUAGCAUCUAAGGUUGGAGGCCUAGGGAACACUUAGGUAGCGCAGCUGCCCUCCACUCUUCCAGCUUCUUCAAUGCUGUAUGUUUUCUUUAAAAGGUGAAUAUUAGUUUAAUUUGCCUAGUUACUUCAGGCAAUUACUCCACAACUACCAAAAGCAAUAGUGAGGAGCCCACUUCCAGCAUCCAAUCCCCACGGGAUGGACGGACAGACGGAUGCUGCUCAAUGCCUUGCCUGCCAGGGGAAGGG